GCCUGGGUGGCCCAGCGGUUGGGCACCUGCCUUUGGCUCAGGUCACGAUCCCGGGAUCCAGGAUCAAGUCCUGCAUCAGGCU
Molecule: non-coding RNA, 82 nt
Organism: Canis lupus familiaris (dog)
Lineage: Eukaryota; Metazoa; Chordata; Mammalia; Carnivora; Canidae
Source: Rfam